GCAGCAGGGCCAAGGCUGUUGCACUGGCCCUUGGCGCAGCUGCCAUUGCUUGUUCCCACAUGGUGUGGCUUGGCUCAGCCCUUGACCCUGGCAUCCAUUGCCUCGUUAUCCAAACACAGAAAUGACCUCCUCUGUGGCCUUGGGGGUGGCCUCAGCUGUGUAAACACAUGUAUAUGUGCAUAUACUUUAUAUAUAUGAUACACAGGUGUGCUGUGUGUAUCUGUCUAACAUGAAGAGCUCAGCUAUAGAGUCAAAUAGAUCGAGCAUUCCAGUCCUGGUUCAGUCACUUUUGCUGGCUUUGUGCUCUCGGAAUAGUUUCCGAAUCCCUUGAAGCUUGGGGGUUUUUAGCUAUAGGGAGGUGACAGUAGUACCUAGUUUAUAGGGUUAUUGUGAGCAUUAAAUGGGCUGGGCUUACAAGGGUGCAGAGUGGGUUGGGUGGUAAUAUUUGUAAGAGUGUGAGUGUCAGUUGUCACUGCCCUCAUGUCAAUACCAUUUAUUAUAGGAUUUAUACUGGGCCCAGGGCUGAGAAUCUCAUGUGCAUGAUCUUACUUUUAAUAACACAACUAUGCAGUGAGUUUUUAAACUCAAAAGGAAACAUGUCACCAGCAGUGACUUGCAUGAGGGCUUUUGUUUGUUUUGGUUGAAAGAGUGUCCUGAGCCGCACCCCUACUCUGAACACAUUCCCCAACCUCCACCAUGCUUCCAGGAUCUGCUCCUUUCUUACCAGUUUAGGUUUUUCCCUGUGUGGGUCUUUGUAAGUCUUUUCCUAAUAUUGGAUAGCCCAUUCCUUGAACUGCAGCUGUAGAACACCUGAACAUUUUGAUUUAUGGUUGCACAGGAGGCUAUAGCAAAUUUACAGACUUUAAAUUAUGUAAUUAGAGUACAAAGCCAUACUGUAAACUAUGCCCCUCUUGUUUGCAAAGUCUCACACCCAUCAGUUGUCUUGGAGUUUGAUUGAUCUCCACUGGGUGCUGGCUGUCUGCAAAAUGCUGUACUGGCAUGAUUAGUUUAACCCAUCUCUACUUCCAAAGAGUUGAUAGUCUACUGUGGAGACAGCCAGCCAGACAAAUCGUUAUGUGCAAUAAGGUGAAUGCUCUGACAGUACCAGAAAGACAAAUAUGGUGGGCUAAGGAGAGGGAGAGUGGUUGGGUGUGUUCAGGAAGGCCCUCUGAGAAGGAGGCAUUUGAGUGCGGUGAUUCUUCCUAUGUGAGGAAUAAUCUACAAAAUACCCGACCAAUACUUCUCAAAAAAGUACUGUUCAAAACAAGCGAAGGAACUGUCAUAGACAACAGGAGGCUAAGGAGACAUGACAACUAAAUGUAAUGUGAUAUCCUAGAUGUGAUCCUGGAACAGAAAAAUGACGUUAGGUAAAAACGAAGGACAUCUGAAUUAAGCAUGGACUUCAAUUAAUAGUAAUGUAUUAAUAUUGAUUCAUUAGUUGUGACAAAUGUACCAAUAAGUAUAAGUGGAUAACAACAGGGGAAACUGGGUGUGGAAUAUACAGAAACUCCCUGUAUGGUCUCAGCAAUUAUUUUGUAAAUUUAAAACCGUUCUAAGAUUAAAAAGUUUAUUGAAAAAUACCUACUGAACUGAACUCUGGAUUUAUCUUCACUUUUGACUGAACAGCAGGACGCCAAGUUAACAUGCCAAUAUGUGUUCUGUGGAUGAAGAUUGAGGGAUGGAUUAAAAAAUCUUAGCUCAACAAAUAACAACUCUGUGCAUGGAAGUUGCCAAAGAUGUAGAAAAUUCUUGCCAGGACGUAGGGUGACUCUUCAGAUAACGCAGAGCUCGUUUGAAAUAUCAUUGUUCCAAGGGGGCCAAACCAAACAGGCCACACCACACAGUGGCCAAGCUGUGCUGUCCUGGGUUCAUUCCAGCCCUACGCCAUAACCACCAUGAGAUUUUUGUACGAGCAGUUUACACCCUGAACUUCAGUUUCCUCAUUGAUAACAUGAAAAUCAUAGUAUAUCAUGCCAUUGGCAGUUUCGAAGUUAAAUGAGGGUGAUGGUGUCUGUAGUGCACUCAGCACAGUAGUUGGUACUCAUUAGCUGCUCCCUACAGGGCAGCUGUUGCUGUUGCCCGAAACUUCUUUUUGUAACAUGCAAAACACAUUCCAUUAACACAAGUCUAAUGACUUUGCUUAAUGGCAGUAGAUGAUGCCAGCGGCUACCUUGGUUUGAUUUCAAGGAUAGAAGGACAUUCUUCCCCUACAAAAUGUCUGUUAUUAAUACCGCUUCCAGUUCCCCCUUGAAGAAUUAAUUGUGCUAAAUAAUUUGUGUUAAAUAUGACCAUGUCUCUUUCAAGCUGCUCAUGCCGCUAGAAAGAACAGUACAUCCAGCGUGAAGGGGCUUUUCAGGUUUGCCGUGCAGGGGAGCCUUGAAACAGGUAGGAGAGAGGCUUGGAGAGGGAGAAAGGGGUUCAGAGGAGCGGGCAAAACUUGUUUACUUUUCAGACCCACCUAGAUCUACCUAGGGAUGGCCCUGUUGCUCUUUAUCUAAGAUAAAUUAGUAUUGUAUAUUUCCUGCUAAGCUAAGUAUCCAUGCAGUUUGGAUUUAUCUGACUUGUACAAAUGAAAUAUAGGUCCAAAGCAUUUUUAUACAUUUACAUGGUAAAGAUUAAUCUUUACCCAAUCAGCUGGAUCCCUGGAACUCAGCUUUUAUGAAGAGGAAUGUUAGCGGACCCACCAAGCACCUAAUAUGCUCAACUUUUUAAUUGCCUUUUUUCUGCCCCUCAGGAAUUAUUACAUCAAUUUUGUUUACCCAGAUUGAAAAUCCAAGUGUUUCUGUUGUCAGCAUGUGCUGCACCUAAGCAUGCUGACUCUGGCUCAAUUUCCCCUUGGCUGCAUUUUCCAUCUUUUUUCUAUUGCAGAAUUUCUUCAAAGUUAUGUGAGCCCUACCCUCCGUGGGUAGAGAAGUUGAGCGGAAAAAAUGGUUCCCUGGGUAAAUAAGUUUAGGAAAUGUGAAACCAAGGUAAGCAGGUUUCUCUACUGCAGGGCUUUUCAGAGCCUUGGUUUUGCUGACAUGCACUGAGUCCCUGAGAGUGAUGUGGUGUGGCUCAUCUCCCAGUACCAGGAAACCUGUCUUCUUGUAUCAGCCCUUUAUGCAGAGGGAUCAGUGUUCUGAGAAAUACAAAGAGUAUGAGAAAGAUGUUGCCAUAGAAGAAAUUGAUGGUCUCCAACUGGUGAAGAAACUGGCAAAGAACAUGGAAGAGAUGUUUCACAAGAAGUCUGAGGCAGUCAGGCGUCUGGUGGAAGCUGCAGAAGAAGCACACCUAAAACAUGAAUUUGAUGCAGACUUACAGUAUGAAUACUUCAAUGCUGUGCUGAUAAAUGAAAGGGACAAAGACGGGAAUUUUUUGGAGCUGGGAAAGGAAUUCAUCUUAGCCCCAAAUGACCAUUUUAAUAAUUUGCCUGUGAACAUCAGUCUAAGUGAUGUCCAAGUACCAACAAACAUGUACAACAAAGACCCUGCAAUUGUCAAUGGGGUUUAUUGGUCUGAAUCCCUAAACAAAGUUUUUGUAGAUAACUUUGACCGUGACCCAUCUCUUAUAUGGCAAUACUUCGGAAGUGCAAAGGGCUUUUUUAGGCAGUAUCCGGGGAUUAAAUGGGAACCAGAUGAGAAUGGAGUCAUUGCCUUUGACUGCAGGAACCGAAAAUGGUACAUCCAGGCAGCAACUUCUCCGAAAGACGUGGUCAUUUUAGUUGAUGUCAGUGGCAGCAUGAAAGGACUCCGUCUGACUAUCGCAAAGCAAACAGUCUCAUCCAUUUUGGAUACACUGGGGGAUGAUGACUUCUUCAACAUAAUUGCUUAUAACGAGGAGCUUCACUAUGUGGAACCUUGCCUGAAUGGAACCUUGGUGCAAGCAGACAGGACAAACAAGGAGCACUUCAGGGAGCAUCUGGACAAACUUUUCGCCAAAGGAAUUGGAAUGUUGGAUAUAGCUCUGAAUGAGGCCUUCAACAUUCUCAGUGAUUUCAACCACACGGGACAAGGAAGUAUCUGCAGUCAGGCCAUCAUGCUCAUAACUGACGGGGCAGUGGACACCUAUGAUACAAUCUUUGCGAAAUACAAUUGGCCAGAUCGAAAGGUUCGCAUCUUCACAUACCUCAUUGGACGAGAGGCUGCAUUUGCAGACAAUCUAAAGUGGAUGGCCUGUGCCAACAAAGGAUUUUUUACCCAGAUCUCCACCUUGGCUGACGUGCAGGAGAAUGUCAUGGAAUACCUCCACGUGCUCAGCCGGCCCAAAGUCAUCGACCAGGAGCAUGAUGUGGUGUGGACCGAAGCUUACAUCGACAGCACCCUCCCUCAGGCACAAAAGCUGACUGAUGAUCAGGGCCUCGUCCUGAUGACCACUGUAGCCAUGCCUGUGUUUAGUAAGCAGAACGAAACCAGAUCGAAGGGCAUUCUCCUAGGAGUGGUUGGCACAGAUGUCCCAGUGAAAGAACUUCUGAAGACCAUCCCCAAAUACAAGUUAGGGAUUCACGGUUAUGCCUUUGCAAUCACAAAUAAUGGAUAUAUCCUGACGCAUCCAGAACUCAGGCCGCUGUAUGAAGAAGGAAAAAAGCGCAGGAAACCUAACUAUAGUAGCGUUGACCUCUCUGAGGUGGAGUGGGAAGACCGCGAUGAUGUGUUGAGAAAUGCUAUGGUGAAUCGAAAGACGGGGAAGUUUUCCAUGGAGGUGAAGAAGACAGUGGACAAAGGGAAACGGGUUUUGGUGAUGACAAAUGACUACUAUUAUACAGACAUCAAGGGUACUCCUUUCAGUUUAGGUGUGGCGCUCUCCAGAGGCCAUGGGAAGUAUUUCUUCCGAGGGAAUGUAACCAUCGAAGAAGGCCUGCAUGACUUAGAACAUCCUGAUGUGUCCUUGGCAGAUGAAUGGUCCUACUGCAACACUGACCUACACCCUGAGCACCGUCAUCUGUCUCAGUUAGAAGCAAUUAAGCUCUACCUCAAAGGCAAAGAACCUCUGCUCCAAUGUGAUAAAGAAUUGAUCCAAGAAGUCCUUUUUGAUGCCGUGGUGAGUGCCCCCAUUGAAGCGUAUUGGACCAGCCUGGCCCUCAACAAAUCUGAGAAUUCUGACAAAGGUGUGGAGGUUGCCUUCCUGGGCACUCGCACGGGCCUCUCCAGAAUCAACCUGUUUGUCGGGGCCGAGCAGCUCACCAAUCAGGACUUCCUGAAAGCUGGCGACAAGGAGAACAUUUUUAAUGCAGACCAUUUCCCUCUCUGGUACCGAAGAGCCGCUGAGCAGAUUCCAGGGAGCUUCGUCUACUCGAUCCCGUUCAGCACUGGACCUGUCAAUAAAAGCAAUGUGGUGACAGCGAGUACAUCCAUCCAGCUCCUGGAUGAACGGAAAUCUCCUGUGGUGGCAGCUGUAGGCAUUCAGAUGAAACUUGAAUUUUUCCAGAGGAAGUUCUGGACCGCCAGCAGACAGUGUGCCUCCCUGGAUGGCAAAUGCUCCAUCAGCUGCGAUGAUGAGACUGUGAACUGUUACCUCAUAGACAAUAAUGGAUUUAUUUUGGUGUCUGAAGACUACACACAGACUGGAGACUUUUUUGGUGAGAUCGAGGGAGCUGUGAUGAACAAAUUGCUAACAAUGGGCUCCUUUAAAAGAAUUACCCUUUAUGACUACCAAGCCAUGUGUAGAGCCAACAAGGAAAGCAGCGAUGGUGCCCAUGGCCUCCUGGAUCCUUACCAUGCCUUCCUCUCUGCAGUAAAAUGGAUAAUGACGGAACUUGUCUUGUUCCUGGUGGAAUUUAACCUCUGCAGUUGGUGGCACUCCGAUAUGACAGCUAAAGCCCAGAAAUUGAAACAGACCCUGGAGCCUUGUGAUACUGAAUAUCCAGCAUUUGUCUCUGAGCGCACCAUCAAGGAGACCACAGGGAAUAUUGCUUGUGAAGACUGCUCCAAGUCCUUUGUCAUCCAGCAAAUCCCAAGCAGCAACCUGUUCAUGGUGGUGGUGGACAGCAGCUGCCUCUGCGAAUCUGUGGCCCCCAUCACCAUGGCGCCCAUUGAAAUUAGGUAUAUCCUUUUGUGUGCUGAUCCAGUCACUACCGCUGAAACCAGGAAGGGGGAAUCAAGGGUAAGGAAACCUAGGGGAGAAAUAUUAGAGAAGGAAAAUUACAUCCUUUCCACUGUUGGAGAGAGUUGUCAUUGCCAAGUUUUGAGCUCUGAACUGCAGAGUAGAAAAAGCAAUCCUUGGAAACAUGCCUUAACUACAGUCAACAUAAUGAAUCCCUUAAGUGUGAACGUCUAAAGGCCCAGAAGAUCAGAAGGCGCCCAGAAUCUUGUCAUGGCUUCCACCCUGAGGAGAAUGCAAGGGAGUGUGGGGCGGCGCCAGGUCUCCAGGCCCUGACAGUCCUCCUCCUGCUCCCCCUGCUUUUGAUGCUCUUCUCAAGGUGACACUGACUGAGAUGUUCUCUUGGCAUGCUAAAUCAUGGAUAAACUGUGAACCAAAAUAUGGUGCAACAUACGAGACAUGAAUAUAGUCCAACCAUCAGCAUCUUAUCAUGAUUUUAAACUGUGCGUGAUAUAAACUCUAAAAGAUAUGUUGACAAAAAGUUAUCUUUUUACUUUGCCAGUCAUGCAAAUGUGAGUUUGCCACAUGAUAAUCACCCUUCAUCAGAAAUGGGACCGCAAGUGGUAGGCAGUGUCCCUUCUGCUUGAAACCUAUUGAAACCAAUUUAAAACUGUGUACUUUUUAAAUAAAGUAUAUUAAAAUCAUAA
Molecule: RNA transcript, 6722 nt
Organism: Sapajus apella (tufted capuchin)
Lineage: Eukaryota; Metazoa; Chordata; Mammalia; Primates; Cebidae
Gene: CACNA2D3
Gene name: calcium voltage-gated channel auxiliary subunit alpha2delta 3
Exons: 36
Source: RefSeq, a predicted model, not a curated record